RNAcentral lists this ribosomal RNA (405 nucleotides) under uncultured prokaryote. RNAcentral's name for it is "bacterial SSU rRNA". It matches the Rfam family "Bacterial small subunit ribosomal RNA", at positions 355 to 774 of the family's 1533-position model. The record is from RNAcentral.
UGGGGGAUAUUGCACAAUGGGCGAAAGCCUGAUGCAGCAACGCCGCGUGAGGGAAGACGGUCUUCGGAUUGUAAACCUUUAGCUUUGGGGAAGAAAAAAAUGACGGUACCCAAAGGGGCAGCCACGGCUAACUACGUGCCAGCAGCCGCGGUAAUACGUAGGUGGCAAGCGUUGUCCGGAAUUACUGGGUGUAAAGGGAGCGCAGGCGGGGAGGCAAGUCAGCUGUGAAAUACAUGGGCUUAACCCAUGAAUUGCAGUUGAAACUGUCUUUCUUGAGUGGAGUAGAGGUAGGCGGAAUUCCGAGUGUAGCGGUGAAAUGCGUAGAUAUUCGGAGGAACACCAGUGGCGAAGGCGGCCUACUGGGCUCUAACUGACGCUGAGGCUCGAAAGUGUGGGGAGCAAACA